GAGCGGCCGAUGUCUGAUUAGCUAGUUGGUAAGGUAAUGGCUUACCAAGGCAACGAUCAGUAGUUGGUCUGAGAGGACGACCAGCCACACUGGGACUGAGACACGGCCCAGACUCCUACGGGAGGCAGCAGUGGGGAAUUUUGGACAAUGGGCGCAAGCCUGAUCCAGCAAUGCCGCGUGAGUGAAGAAGGCCUUCGGGUUGUAAAGCUCUUUCAGUUGAGAAGAAAAGAUUGUAACUAAUAAUUGCAAUCCAUGACGGUAUCGACAGAAGAAGCACCGGCUAACUACGUGCCAGCAGCCGCGGUAAUACGUAGGGUGCGAGCGUUAAUCGGAAUUACUGGGCGUAAAGGGUGCGCAGGCGGUUUUGUAAGUCAGAUGUGAAAUCCCCGGGCUUAACCUGGGAACUGCGU
Molecule: ribosomal RNA, 410 nt
Filed under: uncultured Nitrosomonas sp.
Lineage: Bacteria; Pseudomonadati; Pseudomonadota; Betaproteobacteria; Nitrosomonadales; Nitrosomonadaceae
Description: bacterial SSU rRNA
Rfam family: Bacterial small subunit ribosomal RNA
Source: RNAcentral